CUGAGUUGUAAGGGACCUAUGAAGACCAUUGAGACCAACUCCUGGACCUGCACAAGACACCCCAAGAUCAUGGGUCUGAGAGUGCUGUCCAAACACUUCUUGAGCUCCAUCAGGUUUGGUGCUGUGACAACUUCUGUGGAGAGCCUGUACCGGUGCCUAACCAUCCUCUGGGUCCAUGUCUUUCCUGUGCUGGGGACCUCAGAGCUGGAUGCAGCACUCUGGGUGUAGUCUCACCAAAGCAGAGUAGAUAGAGGAGCAGAAAAACCUCCCUUGACUUGCUUGUCACACUGCUUUUAAUGCAGCCCAGAAUACAGUUGGAUUUUUGUGUGUCAGGAGAAACUUUCCCAGCCUGCCACGACUUUCAUCUGAUGUGUGCAUGGUGUAUAUGACCUGGCAGACACCUGUCUUUCUGAAAAGGCACAGAAAAAUACUUAGUGGAGACACUGGCAGUUGUAUUGAUUACAGUAUUUAAUAUAGUGCUUGGGUCAAAAUAUUGUUAGCACAAAGCAUUCACGUCAGCAUCCCUAUUAGAUUAUAUAAGUAAUUAGCAUUACCCCUAUUUUACAGAGAACAGUGAAAGAAGAAUGAGGAGAAAAUUGGCUGACUCUGUAAGGAUGUAUUAGCCAGCUAUGAGGCAAAGUUAACAUCAGGAAAGUUAGAACACUCUGUAUUAUAUUUAGUUCAGUCCCACCAUCCUGAAAAAAACAGGUGUGCUUUUGAAAUUAACUUUUCUUUGUCAGACCUGUCUUUUAUACUAAAAUUAUAUUUAAGGAUGAUGGUCUCCUUUUUAUCUGUGAUUUUGCUUUUGUUACACUAUUAUUUUUUCUCCUUGCAAUGUAGGAAAAUAUAGUUUCAAUCCAUGUGGCAAUGAAAAUUUUAUGCACAGAAGAACUGGAUUAUAUAGGAGUCUAAGAAAAUGUUGUUUCUUCCUUGAAAACAUUAUGUGAAACAACAUGCACUGUGUGCAUGUUUGUGCAAUCACACAAAUCUGAGUUUUGACUCUGAAUUUCUAUCCAUGAAAAUUGUAACUGUAUCAAUUAA
Poecile atricapillus (Black-capped chickadee) is the source of this 1041-nucleotide long non-coding RNA. RefSeq lists it as uncharacterized. The transcript has 3 exons. NCBI's taxonomy places the organism in Eukaryota, Metazoa, Chordata, Aves, Passeriformes, Paridae. The record is from RefSeq and is a predicted model, not a curated record.